RNAcentral lists this ribosomal RNA (253 nucleotides) under uncultured bacterium. RNAcentral's name for it is "partial 16S ribosomal RNA". It matches the Rfam family "Bacterial small subunit ribosomal RNA", at positions 524 to 776 of the family's 1533-position model. The record is from RNAcentral.
UACGAAGGGGGCUAGCGUUGUUCGGAAUCACUGGACGUAAAGGGCGCGUAGGCGGCCUGCUAAGUCGAACGUGAAAUCCCCGGGCUCAACCCGGGAACUGCGUCCGAUACUGGCAGGCUUGAAUCCGGGAGAGGGAUGUGGAAUUCCAGGUGUAGCGGUGAAAUGCGUAGAUAUCUGGAGGAACACCGGUGGCGAAGGCGGCGUUCUGGACUGCAACUGACACUGAGGAACGAAAGCCAGGGGAGCAAACGGG